RNAcentral lists this non-coding RNA (29 nucleotides) under Rattus norvegicus (Norway rat). The record is from RNAcentral. Lineage: Eukaryota; Metazoa; Chordata; Mammalia; Rodentia; Muridae.
UGUGAUGAGGAAGGGGUCAUCUUUCAUAA